GACGAACGCUGGCGGCGUGCUUAACACAUGCAAGUCGAACGGAAAGGCCCUGCUUUUGUGGGGUGCUCGAGUGGCGAACGGGUGAGUAACACGUGAGUAACCUGCCCUUGACUUUGGGAUGACUUCAGGAAACUGGGGCUAAUACCGGAUAGGAGCUCCUGCUGCAUGGUGGGGGUUGGAAAGUUUCGGCGGUUGGGGAUGGACUCGCGGCUUAUCAGCUUGUUGGUGGGGUAGUGGCUUACCAAGGCUUUGACGGGUAGCCGGCCUGAGAGGGUGAGCGGCCACACUGGGAUGGAGAUACGGCCCAGACUCCUACGGGAGGCAGCAGUGGGGAAGAGUGCACAAGGGGCGGAAGCCUGAUGCAGCAAAGCCGCGUGCGGGAUGACGGCCAUCGGGUUGUAAACCGAUUUCGCCUGUGACGAAGCGUGAGUGACGGUAAUGGGUAAAGAAGCACCGGCUAACUACGUG
Molecule: ribosomal RNA, 468 nt
Filed under: uncultured bacterium
Lineage: Bacteria
Description: partial 16S ribosomal RNA
Rfam family: Bacterial small subunit ribosomal RNA
Source: RNAcentral